This is an RNA transcript of Oreochromis niloticus (Nile tilapia), 1167 nucleotides long. It is a transcript of the gene named sarcolipin, with no coding region annotated. NCBI's taxonomy places the organism in Eukaryota, Metazoa, Chordata, Actinopteri, Cichliformes, Cichlidae. The record is from RefSeq and is a predicted model, not a curated record. The transcript has 4 exons.
CGUGUGAGCAGAUGGUUGGUGGUUUGAGAAAGGGAAUGGCCUUGGAAUCCUGCGAUGGAAAGGUUCAAGUGAUCUGUGCUCGGACUUUGUCCUUCUGUGGCCCCUCUGUGUGUGCAGGAGAAAGUGUGUUUGUCAAGGGGGUUUAACACUAGGUCAGAGAUAACACCGUUUUUAGCAGCUGUCAAGUGUGAGUUGGUGUGUGACAUCAGUCGGUGUGUAUGUGAACCAUGGGCGGUCCACUGAGGUUGGCUACUUUAGGAGCAGGCCCUGCCCCUGGCAACAGCAGAAAACUGGACAACAGCAAGAAACAGAUGCUACAGGGGAGAACUGCUGCAAUCGAGACAUUUCCAAGAAGAAGAAACACUUCUCUUGGAGGGCAAGGCAAGGAGCGGACGAUAACAUUUGCUUUCUCUUUAUCCUGUUCAUAGUGGGAUCACAGCCAAGCAAGCAAGUUUACAGCAACCGACCUCUCCUCGACUGUCUCACCUAUCCUCUCCAUCCAGCACGCUGCCAUGGAUCGCUCGGUGCAGGAGCUGUUCCUCAACUUCAUGAUCGUCUUAAUCACUGUGCUGCUGAUGUGGCUGCUGGUGAAAACUUACCAGGACUAAAAAAUUAAGCAAUGAGAGAGGACACGGACGUGAGGCGGAGGGGAUGGAGAGACACGUGCGUCGGGAAACUGGCGUGGUUAUCGGAAGACUUGGCCGCUGGCUAAAGUGAAUACAGUGUUUACACCUACAGCUCUGCUUAUUCAUGUGAGGUCAACAAUAAGUGGUUACUAUAGCCGGGACAAACUAUGAAUGAUAAAAUAGUUCACAAUCUGUAUUUUUAGUGUUUUUUGUUUUGUUUUUUGAAUAAGGCCAUGAAUGUGAAAUCACAGCAGAGUGGUCAGGGUUAAUAAAUAAGAAUGAAAUUGUUGAAAACCCAAAUGGGAUGGCUUGAAAACGCAAAAAAAAAAUGCAAUGUCACUAUAAACAGGAGUGCAUACCAUAGCCUGUAUGUCUAAGUGCCCAAAUCAUUUAACAAUGCUGUUGUGUCCAAUUUUUCAGUUUUUUUUGUCAAAGUGAUGAACACAACAAACAAGCUUAUAAAACUCAUAAAACAAGACAACAGGAAUUUUGAAGCAUUAUGUUUAUGAUCACUUCUUAACAUUAAACAGUCUUUCAUUUG